UACGGAGGGUGCAAGCGUUGUCCGGAAUCACUGGGCGUAAAGGGCGCGUAGGCGGCCUGAUAAGUCGGGGGUGAAAUCCUGCGGCUCAACCGCAGGGCUGCCUCCGAGACUGUCGGGCUAGAGCACGGUAGAGGCAGAUGGAAUUCCCGGUGUAGCGGUGGAAUGCGUAGAGAUCGGGAAGAACAUCAGUGGCGAAGGCGGUCUGCUGGGCCGUUGCUGACGCUGAGGCGCGACAGCGUGGGGAGCAAACAGG
RNAcentral lists this ribosomal RNA (253 nucleotides) under uncultured bacterium. RNAcentral describes it as "partial 16S ribosomal RNA". It matches the Rfam family "Bacterial small subunit ribosomal RNA", at positions 524 to 776 of the family's 1533-position model. The record is from RNAcentral.